CCGAGGGCGAAGGAGGCAGGAAGGGGAGGAGGCAGCGGGCGGAGAGAGGACACUCGGCUGCCAUCAUUUAAGCCUCUUGAUUAUUUAAACUUCUGCAGAAUAAUGAUUGCAUAUUUGAAGAUCUGCAGGUCACUGUGCGACUCUAACAGCAGCCUGCGGAGAUCUGCGCUGGAGAAACCCAGCACAGGGCUGGCCAGGCUGGGGCCCAGACGCACCGGGCAGUGAACUGACAGCGCAGGCAGAGAGCAGCCCCUCCUCCCGCGCCGCUCUGCUUGGCUCGCUGCAGCCAAAUUUAGGAAAAGAAGAUGCGCUGGGUAUCACAGAACACAUCUCCCUUGAACUGAUAAAGCUAUGCUAUUUCUUGGAUUUCUUUAUGGAAAUAUGAGUCACAGCAAGUACCCUGUUUUCAGAUGGAAACAGUGAGAGAGUGAGACAAGUGAUCCAGGGUCCAAGCUCAAUGCAGGAGUCCCGGACUCUGGGCCACAGUUCUAGGCUUUCAUCUUGAUUAGACAUCAGAGAGUCUAAAGGUCCCACCUCCUAGCACCAUCACACUGCGGUUUGGGCUUCAGCGCAGACCUUUUGCGCGGAUGCAGACACUCAGCCCAUAACCAGGAACUGCCCAAACUUUAUGGCAGAACGUUCAGGCUUAUAAAACAUUGGGCCACCCUUCACUUUUACAUUUGGACACAACAUGAGUGUUCUAACUGCAUUAUGACACCAAGUAGGAGAAGAGGCUAAGACAGAACACGGAAAAUGAAUGACGUAGGCAGUGCUGCUGACUAGGACUGAAACAUUUCAGAAGACAGGUGUACAUGAGUUUAGAAGCAGAGAAGGUGGCGGUGAGUGUCCAGGAAAGCAAUGAGCAAUCCUAAGCACAGAACACUGGAAAAUAACCUCCAGCACAAUCACUGACAUGGAGACUGUGAUGGGGAGCCAGCGCUAUCACAGUCCACCCCUUCAGUGCCUCUGUGUGAGUGUGCCGCAUGUACUAGGGGUGGGGGUGGAUGCAACAGGGCCCACCAAACCUUUCUUCUUUGUUGCUCUUCUGUGUAUGGCUUUAUUUAAAUAAAAGUUCUACUGAACACUUCGAAGUCCAGCUUUCUACAGCUCAUUGUUCUACUCUUAUGUUUCAUUGCUCUGGCCUGUUCAUUUUUUUUAGCUUUCUUCACA
Long non-coding RNA from Chinchilla lanigera (long-tailed chinchilla), 1170 nucleotides. RefSeq lists it as uncharacterized. The transcript is spliced from 4 exons. Lineage: Eukaryota; Metazoa; Chordata; Mammalia; Rodentia; Chinchillidae. The record is from RefSeq and is a predicted model, not a curated record.